ACCAUACCACACUGAACAUUCCCAAUCUUCUCUGAUCUCCAAAGCUAAGCAGGCUAGGUCCUGCUUAGUAUUUGGAUGGGAAACAGUAUGAAAUAUACCUGGAACUCAGGUC
Molecule: ribosomal RNA, 112 nt
Filed under: Chinchilla lanigera (long-tailed chinchilla)
Lineage: Eukaryota; Metazoa; Chordata; Mammalia; Rodentia; Chinchillidae
Source: RNAcentral